This is a long non-coding RNA of Homo sapiens (human), 3285 nucleotides long. RefSeq lists it as uncharacterized. The transcript is spliced from 3 exons. Lineage: Eukaryota; Metazoa; Chordata; Mammalia; Primates; Hominidae. The record is from RefSeq and is marked validated.
CUCACCGCACCGUGGCUCGGAGGAGUUGCAUCUUUUUGCCUCGGGAGCCUGGCGCAUCGGAGCUUCCCUGCACUCAUCCACGCGGGAUGGUCACCUCCACUCCGGAAUGGGCGUUCCCAACCUCCAGAGGCACGUGACUUUAAAGACCAUAUCCUCACAAAAUAGGAUCAAGUAAAAGCUGCUCAGUGGUGAAGACGCGGAGCUGGACCAGCCCCGGUGCUGGGUGCAGCAGCCGCUGUGCAGGAGGCCGUGUCUGUCCUGUCCAAGAGAGUUGGAGUCAGAACCUCACCUGGAGCCCCACUCCUCCUAGAAUAGAGGAACGGCCCAGGCCACACCCCAGCCGCACCAGUACAGCAGCUGCUUUGCAAAGUGGAUGUCCGCAGGUGCUUCCAACGCAUGUCAGAACUAAGCUGGAGCCCUGUCCACGCUCCUUCGUGCUCUGUCGGGAGGCUCCGCAGGAGCUGGCCGCUGGGUGGGACGCCAGAAGGUGGCUUCAUCUUCCCCGCAGGCUGGGUGAAAAUUCAAAACCAAGGGAAAUUACUGCCGUCAGGGUUGCGGCUUCAGCCAGAGCUUGCCUCCCAGUCUCACACUCAUGCUCUCCUGUGGAAUCAGGCUCUGCGAUUCUUUUGCCCGGAGCAGAAAGGACCUGCGACACGGCCUGGGGAGACGGCUCCACCGUCUGAGGUAGCAGCAAACAAAGCAGCAGCAUGGAGGGUCAGGGGCGAGGGGAGCAGUCCCGGCUGUCUGCUGGCUUUCUGCUUUCUAAGCUUUUAUUUUCAUAGGGAGGAGAGAGAGGGCGCCUGAGUCUGACAAGAGGGUCUCAGCUCCCGUGCUGGCAACUCUCCUGCCGGCCACAGGGACCUCCGGGCCAUGGCGCCCGGCCGGCCUACUGGGUGACAAGCUUGGAGGGUGUGUGGAAGGGCCCAGCUGCUGUGAGGGUGCCGGUGUUCCCUCCCUCGCCUCCUGCCGCACCUGCUCUGAGCUGAGUUCUGCCAUCACAGAUGUGGGUUCGGCAGAGAGACCACCUGGCAAUGAGGCACACGUGUCCGGAUGGAGUGUCUGUAAGGGACGUUUGCUGAUGACUUGCCGAGGCUAUGGUAGAACCCGCCGGCCGUGGAAAGCAGGAGCUGGCACUGGCUGUAGCGCCCGGACCCCAGGCCUCCCGCCUGUGGCCCAGCUUCCUGGCUGCCUCAUAGCUCUAAAGCAAACGCCCUGGCCAAAGAGACGCAUCUCAUCCCCAGCAGUCCCCAGCUCCUGACGCAGCAUGGACCCCUCACUCGCUCCUCCAGGCAGCCCAGGGCCUAUGGUGAUAGAGCCUCUAGAGUGGCGGACCAGGUUCUGAGGGUCUUUAAAACAGUCACCAAUGGGAAGUUUUGUUCACAGAAAUUUAACAUUGAGAAACAAAUGGAAACAUAACAGAAAAGACCGAUUACGUUUCCCAAGUUGGAAAGAAUCGGGUUCCAUCUGCCCAGGAGAAACAGGCGUCUCCACGUGCUGGGAGUGGCGCGUGGGAAGUAGAGGGAGUCUCAAGAACAGCAAGCCAGGGGCGCUGACCUGCAGGGAGGGGCGCCAGGGGCCCAGGGUGGCCUCUCAGGUUCACGAACCAGGGAAGGGACCCCAGCAGACGUGGACUUGCCCACAUCGCCCCUGGGGGAGGCUCUCCAGCCAGCUGAGGACAUACCCGGGGCUCCAGCCCCAUCCACAGCCUCCCUCCCGGUCCGUGAAGGAUUGGUCUCACCCAUGGCAGGAGGUUCUCACCGCGUGGCCUGUGGGUCCUGGCAUGGGGUAAGUUCCCAGGGACUCUGCCAGUGGGUCUGCAGAUCAGAACUACGUUUGUGACAAAGCUAAGUGACACUGUGUGACAAUAUGUCACUACUUUUGUGACAAUGCCUUCUCCAGCGGGCGACAUCUGCGAAUGGCGGCUCCGUAUUGGGCACAGGGCGGCAGCUCCACACCCUGCCUUCCCACCACCAGCACUUACUGUGCAGUAGAAACAAUAGCUCCACUUUUAAAAGGCCCCCUGGGGCAGAAAAACUAUCCGUUCUGUUCUAUCUCAGCCUUGCACACAGCACAGCAGGGUGCAUGGCCACAGGUGGGGCAGUACACGGGAAAUGCAGGCAGAGUGCGUGGACCACACAUGGAAGCUGACGGGACUGGGAGAAAGUGUGUGGCUGAGUCUGGAGCCACGGCCCCCACCCCCCAGCUACGUCUGUACCUGAAAAAACAACCAACUAGCCACGGUCAUCGGGCAUCGGGCAGGCAUUUUCUUGAAAAUGAGCAAAAUGAGCCUGUUGCUUUAAGGUAAACUUGCAGUAUUUGUUGCCAAUAACAAAAUUUGAGCUUUCAAGCAAAAAUUAGAAUUUUGGAAAACUUGUAUCCAUCACUGUGAGCUUCCCAGUCAGCACUUCAAGACUUUUCCGAGGAAGUUGGUGGUGAUAUUCGCAAAUGUGACUUUUGAUAUUAAAUAAACAAACACGUCAACAUUUGGAAGCUCCACAUGACUCGGUGAACUGACCUUUUCCAGAUGACUGUUGCAGGAUGCUACGAAGCCACGCCGGGUGAGAACCCACCCAAAGCGUGUGAUCGCCUCACGUCACAGCCUGGCUGAGCGCAGAGCGCAUGCACCAUGGUCUCCGGUUCCACAGCAGCUCACCUUGAGGAAACCGUCACUUACCACGUGUUGCAUAACCCCAAGAAAGACGACGCGUAAUGAUCCAAAAAGGCUGGUAAAUAAUCCUCUGUCCCAACUCAAUGUCUGUGUGUGGCCAGGUUUUCUUCUCAAUUUCAACCAGAGCAACAGUAUCACAGCAGUUCAAAUCAGAGAACCCAGUGAAAGGGGUUUGCAAAAUGUAAGAUAAUGCCAUUCUUUUUACUAAAAAUAUUACUAAAAUUUUAUCCUAUAUGUUAACACUUAAUGGGUUUAUUAUUGCUGUUUUUAAAUGGAUCAGAAAAGGAUGAAAUGGUUGCUUUGCAGCAAUGUGGAUGGAAGUGGUGCCCAUUCUCUUAAGUGGAACAGAAAGACAAACGCUGCAUGUUCUUACUCAUAAGUGGAGCUGAAUCACGUGUGGACACGGAGUGUGGAAUGACAGGCCGUAGAGUCCGGGAGGGAGUGGGGGGUUGGGGAGAAAGUACUUAACGGGUACAGCACACCUUAUUGGGGUUCCCUAAAAGCCGUGGCUUCACCACUGUGCAAUGUAUGCCUGUAACAAAAUUACACUUGUGCCCCAUAAAUUUACAUAAAUCUAAAAUGUAUAAGUAAAUUUUGAAAUGUAAACAUAAAUGAAG